RNAcentral lists this ribosomal RNA (527 nucleotides) under uncultured bacterium. RNAcentral describes it as "bacterial SSU rRNA". It matches the Rfam family "Bacterial small subunit ribosomal RNA", at positions 777 to 1304 of the family's 1533-position model. The record is from RNAcentral.
AAUAGAUACCCCGGUAGUCCACGCCGUAAACGAUGUCGACUUGGAGGUUGUUCCCUUGAGGAGUGGCUUCCGGAGCUAACGCGUUAAGUCGACCGUCUGGGGAGUACGGCCGCAAGGUUAAAACUCAAAUGAAUUGACGGGGGCCCGCACAAGCGGUGGAGCAUGUGGUUUAAUUCGAUGCAACGCGAAGAACCUUACCUACUCUUGACAUCCAGAGAACUUAGCAGAGAUGCUUUGGUGCCUUCGGGAACUCUGAGACAGGUGCUGCAUGGCUGUCGUCAGCUCGUGUUGUGAAAUGUUGGGUUAAGUCCCGCAACGAGCGCAACCCUUAUCCUUUGUUGCCAGCGGUUCGGCCGGGAACUCAAAGGAGACUGCCAGUGAUAAACUGGAGGAAGGUGGGGAUGACGUCAAGUCAUCAUGGCCCUUACGAGUAGGGCUACACACGUGCUACAAUGGCGUAUACAAAGAGAAGCGACCUCGCGAGAGCAAGCGGACCUCAUAAAGUACGUCGUAGUCCGGAUUGGAGU